GGUCGCAUGGUGUAGUGGUUAUCACGUUUGUCUUACAUUACUUGAGCACAAACGGUCGCCGGUUCGAUCCCGGCUGUGGCCA
This 82-nucleotide transfer RNA is filed under the name Wolfiporia cocos MD-104 SS10. RNAcentral's name for it is "Wolfiporia cocos (strain MD-104) (brown rot fungus) tRNA". It matches the Rfam family "tRNA". Rfam says of the family: Transfer RNA (tRNA) molecules are approximately 80 nucleotides in length. Their secondary structure includes four short double-helical elements and three loops (D, anti-codon, and T loops). The record is from Rfam by way of RNAcentral. Lineage: Eukaryota; Fungi; Basidiomycota; Agaricomycetes; Polyporales; Phaeolaceae.